This 1281-nucleotide ribosomal RNA is filed under the name Triticum aestivum (bread wheat). RNAcentral's name for it is "partial small subunit ribosomal RNA". Lineage: Eukaryota; Viridiplantae; Streptophyta; Magnoliopsida; Poales; Poaceae. The record is from RNAcentral.
AUGGUCCGCGAGUUGCUGGCCGUGCUGGUGCGCGCGGCGCUGCAGUGGGCGCUGGCGUCGCUGCUCCUCGCCAACGGCGCCGCCUUCUGCCUCAUCGCCGCCGCGGCCUCGUCGCUCCGGCUCGGCCCGCCCUGCCUCCUCUGCGCACGCGUUCACCGCCUGCUCUGCUCCUCCUCCUCCCCUGGCGCCGGUGCCAGCCAAGAACAAGACGCCUUCCGCCGCCUGCUCUGCGGCGCUCACAUCGCCGCCAUCGCGGGCUUAGGCGCAGAAGAAACAGAGCAUCAAGCGUGCUCUGCUUCUCAUGGCGUCGACAGAGGGACCAAAUAUGAUUCAGAUAAACCUCGAGGUCUAGAAUCUCACCGGGUCGUCUCCAUCGGCAGCGAGAUCUGCGAGCAAGAUCGUGGCGGCGACGAUGACCAACCCCGCGCCACCAACCUCAGCGCCCUCGGAAGAACGUCGAGCACCGACAGCGGCGAAGGCCCAUACGUGUCCCUGUUCGAGCUCGCUCCCCUCGUCGCCCUCCCGGAAGACACCCCGGUCACCAGACACGGGACGACGAAGCCGGAGCACGGGAGCGCGCCCUCGAGCGCCGCGGCAGGCGGCGAGCAGGCGCUGACGGUGAGCGGCCUCGUCGCCGCCCUCCGCGCGCAGCGGAGGGAGCUGGAGGCGGCGCGCGCGGAGCUGCACGGCGAGCGGCGCGCCAGGGCGGAGCUGGAGGAGCAGGGCGAGCUGGACCGGGAGGCGGCGCGGGUGGCCAUGCAGCUCGUGCACGAGACGGAGACGGAGAAGCACGAGCUGCAGCGGCAGCUCGACGCGUUCAGGGUCAGGGCCCAGCUCCACGGCCGCGAGGCCGCCGCCGCCUCCUUGGACGCGGACUACUCUGCUUCUGCUCCGGCCAACCGGCUCGGCCGCCGGCUGAGCCGCGACGGUGACGGUGAACUGAUGGAGCAGGAAGACGAGGCGGGCUGGGGCGGGAACAAGAACUACCAGUCGCUGGUGGACUUCCUGCCGGGCUCGGUCUACUCCUCGUCGCCGGACCUGGCCAACCUGCUGAGGCUCUACACGGAAGGCAAUGGCAAUGGCGCUCGUCGGCCGAAAGAGGGUGGUAUCACCGAGGAGGAGGAGGAGAUCGUCGUCGCCGUCACGGCCACAUCUGUUUCCGGUUUCGACGGCCGGGACGGUGAGGAGGCCACUAGCGUUGCUGCUUCUUUGCCAGAAAGUGGUGGCGACCACGUCCGAGCAGAUCUUGCACAGGACGAAGCAGCCGUAAUGCGUGCAUGA